This 826-nucleotide ribosomal RNA is filed under the name Phaeosphaeria musae. RNAcentral describes it as "eukaryotic LSU rRNA". It matches the Rfam family "Eukaryotic large subunit ribosomal RNA", at positions 78 to 924 of the family's 3401-position model. The record is from RNAcentral. Lineage: Eukaryota; Fungi; Ascomycota; Dothideomycetes; Pleosporales; Phaeosphaeriaceae.
CCCAAGUACGGCGAGUGAAGCGGCAACAGCUCAAAUUUGAAAUCUGGCUCUUUCAGGGUCCGAGUUGUAAUUUGCAGAGGGCGCUUUGGCGUUGGCAGCGGUCCAAGUUCUUUGGAACAGGACGUCACAGAGGGUGAGAAUCCCGUACGUGGUCGCUAGCCUUCGCCGUGUAAAGCCCCUUCGACGAGUCGAGUUGUUUGGGAAUGCAGCUCUAAAUGGGAGGUAAAUUUCUUCUAAAGCUAAAUACUGGCCAGAGACCGAUAGCGCACAAGUAGAGUGAUCGAAAGAUGAAAAGCACUUUGGAAAGAGAGUCAAAUAGCACGUGAAAUUGUUGAAAGGGAAGCGCUUGCAGCCAGACUUGCCUGUAGUUGCUUAUCUGGACUUUUGUCCGGUGCACUCUUCUGCGGGCAGGCCAGCAUCAGUUUGGGCGGUUGGAUAAAGGUCUCUGUCAUGUACCUCCUUUCGGGGAGGCCUUAUAGGGGAGACGACAUGCAACCAGCCUGGACUGAGGUCCGCGCAUCUGCUAGGAUGCUGGCGUAAUGGCUGUAAGCGGCCCGUCUUGAAACACGGACCAAGGAGUCUAACAUCUAUGCGAGUGUUUGGGUGUCAAGCCCAGACGCGUAAUGAAAGUGAACGGAGGUGGGAACCCUUUGGGUGCACCAUCGACCGAUCCUGAUGUCUUCGGAUGGAUUUGAGUAAGAGCAUGGCUGUUGGGACCCGAAAGAUGGUGAACUAUGCUUGAAUAGGGUGAAGCCAGAGGAAACUCUGGUGGAGGCUCGCAGCGGUUCUGACGUGCAAAUCGAUCGUCAAAUUUGGGCAUAGGGGC